GAGUUUAAACGAAUUCGCCUUGAGUUUGAUCCUGGCUCAGAAUGAACGUGGCGGCGUGGAUUAGGCAUGCAAGUCGAGCGAGAAGUUUUAAAAAGAUGCUUCGGUUGAUUUUUAAAACGGACAGCGGCGAAAGGGAGAGUAACGAGUAGAUACGUACCCAAGGGUUCGGGAUAGCCAUGCGAAAGCGUGAGUAAUACCGAAUAAUGUCUCCGGACCAAAGAUUUAUCGCCCUUGGAGCGGUUUGCUUACUAUUAGCUUGUUGGUGGGGUAAAGGCCUACCAAGGCUUAGAUGGUUAGCGGGUGUGAGAGCAUGACCCGUCUCACUGGGACUGAGACACUGCCCAGACACCUACGGGUGGCUGCAGUCGAGAAUCUUCCGCAAUGGACGCAAGUCUGACGGAGCGACGCCGCGUGCUGGAUGAAGGCCCUCGGGUUGUAAACAGCUGUCGUAGGGGAGGAAAUUUUGACCGAUCCUAGGUGGAAGCACAGGCUAAGUUCGUGCAAGCAGCCGCGGUAAUACGAACUGUGCAAACGUUAUUCGGAACCACUGGGCUUAAAGGGUGCGUAGGCGGGUUGGUAGGUCAGAUGUGAAAGCCCACGGCUCAACCGUGGAAUUGCGUUUGAAACCACUAGUCUUGAGGGGAUCAGAGGAGAGCGGAACUGAUGGUGGAGCGGUGAAAUGCGUUGAUAUUAUCAGGAACACCGGUGGCGAAAGCGGCUCUCUGGGAUCCUUCUGACGCUGAGGCACGAAAGCUAGGGGAGCGAACGGGAUUAGAUACCCCGGUAGUCCUAGCUGUAAACGAUCUGUACUAGUCCGUGGGGACUCCCACAUCUUCUCGGACGUAGCGAAAGUGUUAAGUACAGCGCCUGGGGAGUUAUGGU
Molecule: ribosomal RNA, 882 nt
Filed under: uncultured bacterium
Lineage: Bacteria
Description: bacterial SSU rRNA
Rfam family: Bacterial small subunit ribosomal RNA
Source: RNAcentral